AGAGUUUGAUCCUGGCUCAGAACGAACGCUGGCGGCGCGUUUUAAGCAUGCAAGUCGCGGGAGAAAUAAGUGCUUGCACUUAUGGAAACCGGCGCACGGGUGAGUAACACGUGAGAAUCUACCUCGAGGCGGGGGACAGCUCAUGGAAACAUGGGGUAAUACCGCGUAUGACUACGGUUGAAAGAUGCAAUUACAUCGCCUUGAGAUGAGCUUGCGGUCCAUUAGCUAGUUGGCAGGGUAAAUGCCUACCAAGGCUACGAUGGAUAGCCGGCCUGAGAGGGUGAACGGCCACAUUGGGACUGAGACACGGCCCAGACUCCUACGGGAGGCAGCAGCUAAGAAUCUUCCGCAAUGGGAGCAAUCCUGACGGAGCGACGCCGCGUGGACGAUGAAGGCGGAAACGUUGUAAAGUCCUUUUAUAAGGGAAGAAUAAUGCAGGUAGUGGAAAGCUCUGCAGAUGACGGUACCUUAUGAAUAAGCCUCGGCUAACUACGUGCCAGCAGCCGCGGUAAUACGUAGGAGGCAAGCGUUGUUCGGAUUUAUUGGGCGUAAAGGGUACGCAGGCUGUUUUGCAAGUGUGGAUUGAAAGACCGGAGCUUAACUCCGUGUUUGGUCUGCAAACUGCAUGACUAGAGUUCAGAAGGGGAGAUUGGAAUUCCGUGUGUAAGGGUAAUAUCUGUAGAUAUGCGGAAGGAUACCUGUGGCGAAGGCGAAUCUCUGGUCUGUGACUGACGCUGAGGUACGAAAGUGUGGGGAGCGAACAGGAUUAGAUACCCUGGUAGUCCACACCGUAAACGUUGUACACUAGGUGUUGAAGAAUCCUAGUGCCGAAGCUAACGCAUUAAGUGUACCGCCUGGGGAGUAUGUCGGCAACGAUGAAACUCAAAGGAAUUGACGGGGGCCCGCACAAGCGGUGGAGCAUGUGGUUUAAUUCGAUAUACGCGAAGAACCUCACCAGGACUUGACAUUCAGUUGACCGCCUGAGAGAUCAGGCUUUUCUUCGGAACAGCUGAACAGGUGCUGCAUGGUUGUCGUCAGCUCGUGUUGUGAGAUGUUGGGUUAAGUCCCGCAACGAGCGCAACCCCUAUUGCUAGUUACCAUCAGAUAAUGCUGGGGACUCUAGUGAAACUGCCGGUGACAAACCGGAGGAAGGUGGGGAUGACGUCAAAUCCUCAUGGCCCUUAUGUCCUGGGCUACACACGUGCUACAAUGGGCUGUACAGAGGGUAGCAAAACCGCGAGGUCAAGCCAAUCCCAAAAAGCAGUCCGUAGUUCGGAUUGGAGUCUGCAACUCGACUCCAUGAAGCUGAAUCGCUAGUAAUCGCAGAUCAGCAUGCUGCGGUGAAUACGUUCCCGGGCCUUGUACACACCGCCCGUCACACCACCCGAGUCGAGGAUACCCAAAGUUAUUACCCUAACCUUCGGGAGGGGGGUACCUAAGGUAUGUUUGGUAAGGGGGGUGAAGUCGUAACAAGGUA
This 1477-nucleotide ribosomal RNA is filed under the name metagenome. Its description in RNAcentral is "bacterial SSU rRNA". It matches the Rfam family "Bacterial small subunit ribosomal RNA". The record is from RNAcentral.